This 616-nucleotide ribosomal RNA is filed under the name uncultured bacterium. RNAcentral describes it as "bacterial SSU rRNA". It matches the Rfam family "Bacterial small subunit ribosomal RNA", at positions 338 to 948 of the family's 1533-position model. The record is from RNAcentral.
CCUACGGGAGGCAGCAGUGGGGAAUUUUGGACAAUGGGCGCAAGCCUGAUCCAGCAAUGCCGCGUGAGUGAAGAAGGCCUUCGGGUUGUAAAGCUCUUUUGUCAGGGAAGAAACGGCUGAGGCUAAUAUCCUCGGCUAAUGACGGUACCUGAAGAAUAAGCACCGGCUAACUACGUGCCAGCAGCCGCGGUAAUACGUAGGGUGCAAGCGUUAAUCGGAAUUACUGGGCGUAAAGCGUGCGCAGGCGGUUUUGUAAGUCUGUCGUGAAAGCCCCGGGCUUAACCUGGGAAUUGCGAUGGAGACUGCAAGGCUUGAAUCUGGCAGAGGGGGGUAGAAUUCCACGUGUAGCAGUGAAAUGCGUAGAGAUGUGGAGGAACACCGAUGGCGAAGGCAGCCCCCUGGGUCAAGAUUGACGCUCAUGCACGAAAGCGUGGGGAGCAAACAGGAUUAGAUACCCUGGUAGUCCACGCCCUAAACGAUGUCUACUAGUUGUCGGGUCUUAAUUGACUUGGUAACGCAGCUAACGCGUGAAGUAGACCGCCUGGGGAGUACGGUCGCAAGAUUAAAACNCAAAGGAUUGACGGCUGAGAGAGCGAGACGACGACGAGGGAGGAGG